GAAAAAAUUAGUAAGAGAUAAAUUAUUAGUUCAUUUCGUUCUUAGAUCGAUAUCUCUGUCCAAACUUCCGAUUUGCUGUCUGUCUUUGAUACUUGGCAUGGUGGAGGCGUCGUCUUCUGUUCAUCAUACUGUUCGCUGCUCCAAAGAAGGUGCAGGCACUGGUGGACGCUAGAGCUUACGGUACAACAUUACAGUUAUCCAAACGUGGAGCUUAUAUCCGGACUUGGUAGGCCCUCAUGCUAUCGAGGAUGUCUACCGUUAUUAUCUAGCUUAGAUGUAGG
Molecule: unclassified non-coding RNA, 281 nt
Filed under: Hevea brasiliensis (rubber tree)
Lineage: Eukaryota; Viridiplantae; Streptophyta; Magnoliopsida; Malpighiales; Euphorbiaceae
Source: RNAcentral